GGCUGGGCCGGCGUGUUGCCAUAACCGGAGUCGGCGUAACCCCCGGCAUAGGGAUUGGUUUGGCCCUGAUUGUAGGCCGGCUGGGUAUAGGUGCCCGCCGGCGCCUGCGCGUAGCCUCCCGUCCCCGGCGUCCCGGUGGCCGUAUUGUAGGCGUUGUACGGAUCAGUGCCGGUGGCCUCGUACGGAUUCUGCUCCAUAUCGUUGCCGGCUUGCAUGGUCUCGCACCCGGUGAAAACGAGCGCGGCACCCAUGGUGAAUGUCAAAACUGCGAAGCGGUGAACGGACAUGGCCGGAUGAAAUCGUGCGGGCGAAAACGGCUGACGGGAAUGCGCUUAAAAUUUAAGCACCCUUAAGCAAUUUGGCAACGAGUUUCUUUCCGGAAAAUCCAAUCAGGGCCCUCAGUCGGGCCAUUUUUUGAACGCCUCGAUGGCCUCGUACUCCGCCAUGCCGAGCUGGUCAUAGCGCCUUGCCGUAAGGCGAUUGCGCUCACCGGUGAGCAGCUCCGGCAGGUUGUGGGAAAGGAAUUUGUGCAUGGCGGCGAUUUUGUGCGUGAGUUGAUCGGGACUCAUGGGCACGGCCAUGUCGAUUUCGUGCGGGUCGAAUUCGUGCUGGUGCCCGCGGUAGAGCCAGACGUGGCAAUGUCCCCGCCACGCCGCACCGGCGCGCUCAUUGAUGGCCUGCCGGAAGGCCGCGAAGGCCAGCCCCUGCACGCUGCUGGGAUCCG
This 724-nucleotide unclassified non-coding RNA is filed under the name uncultured fungus. RNAcentral's name for it is "sequence contains 18S rRNA gene, ITS1, 5.8S rRNA gene, ITS2, 28S rRNA gene". Lineage: Eukaryota; Fungi. The record is from RNAcentral.